RNAcentral lists this ribosomal RNA (422 nucleotides) under uncultured bacterium. Its description in RNAcentral is "bacterial SSU rRNA". It matches the Rfam family "Bacterial small subunit ribosomal RNA", at positions 355 to 774 of the family's 1533-position model. The record is from RNAcentral.
UGAGGAAUAUUGGUCAAUGGGCGCGAGCCUGAACCAGCCAAGUAGCGUGAAGGAUGAAGGUCCUAUGGAUUGUAAACUUCUUUUAUAGCAGAAUAAAGUGACCCACGUGUGGGUUUUUGUAUGUAUGCUAUGAAUAAGGAUCGGCUAACUCCGUGCCAGCAGCCGCGGUAAUACGGAGGAUCCGAGCGUUAUCCGGAUUUAUUGGGUUUAAAGGGUGCGCAGGCGGGAUGUUAAGUCGGCGGUGAAAUUUUGCAGCUCAACUGUAAAAGUGCCUUCGAUACUGGCUUCCUUGAGUGUAGAUGAAGUGGGCGGAAUUUGUGGUGUAGCGGUGAAAUGCUUAGAUAUCACGAGGAACUCCGAUUGCGCAGGCAGCUUACUAAACUACAACUGACGCUCAUGCACGAAGGCGUGGGGAUCAAACA